Molecule: transfer RNA, 76 nt
Filed under: Desulfovibrio sp.
Lineage: Bacteria; Pseudomonadati; Thermodesulfobacteriota; Desulfovibrionia; Desulfovibrionales; Desulfovibrionaceae
Description: tRNA-His
Rfam family: tRNA
About the family: Transfer RNA (tRNA) molecules are approximately 80 nucleotides in length. Their secondary structure includes four short double-helical elements and three loops (D, anti-codon, and T loops). Further hydrogen bonds mediate the characteristic L-shaped molecular structure. tRNAs have two regions of fundamental functional importance: the anti-codon, which is responsible for specific mRNA codon recognition, and the 3' end, to which the tRNAs corresponding amino acid is attached (by aminoacyl-tRNA synthetases). tRNAs cope with the degeneracy of the genetic code in two manners: having more than one tRNA (with a specific anti-codon) for a particular amino acid; and 'wobble' base-pairing, i.e. permitting non-standard base-pairing at the 3rd anti-codon position.
Source: RNAcentral
GCGGAAGUAGCUCAGUUGGUAGAGCACCUGGUUGUGGCCCAGGCGGCCGUGGGUUCAAGUCCCAUCUUUCGCCCCA